GCCGGGCGUGGUGGCUCAUGCCUGUGAUCCCAGCACUUUGGGAGGCUGAGGUGGGUGGAUCACCUGAGGUCGGGAGUUCGAGACCAGCCUGACCAAUAUGGAGAAACCCCAUCUCUA
This is an unclassified non-coding RNA of Callithrix jacchus (white-tufted-ear marmoset), 117 nucleotides long. It matches the Rfam family "Metazoan signal recognition particle RNA". From Rfam's summary of the family: The signal recognition particle (SRP) is a universally conserved ribonucleoprotein. It is involved in the co-translational targeting of proteins to membranes. The eukaryotic SRP consists of a 300-nucleotide 7S RNA and six proteins: SRPs 72, 68, 54, 19, 14, and 9. The record is from Ensembl. Lineage: Eukaryota; Metazoa; Chordata; Mammalia; Primates; Cebidae.